GAUGAACGCUAGCGGCAGGCCUAAUACAUGCAAGCCGAACGGUAACCCCGCAGCAAUGCGGGGCUAGAGUGGCGUAAGGGUGCGUAACACGUAUGCAAUCUACCCGCAACAGGAGGAUAGCUCCCCGAAAGGGGAAUUAACCCUCCAUGAGAUCACACGAGGGCAUCCGAGAGUGAUUAAAUUUGAGGAGGUUGUGGAUGAGCAUGCGACUGAUUAGCUAGUUGGCAGUGUAACGGACUACCAAGGCAAUGAUCAGUAGGGGAACUGAGA
This 270-nucleotide ribosomal RNA is filed under the name uncultured bacterium. Its description in RNAcentral is "partial 16S ribosomal RNA". It matches the Rfam family "Bacterial small subunit ribosomal RNA", at positions 28 to 297 of the family's 1533-position model. The record is from RNAcentral.